RNAcentral lists this unclassified non-coding RNA (345 nucleotides) under soil metagenome. Its description in RNAcentral is "partial contains 5.8S ribosomal RNA, internal transcribed spacer 2, and large subunit ribosomal RNA". The stretch from base 1 to 120 matches the Rfam family "5.8S ribosomal RNA", at positions 35 to 154 of the family's 154-position model. The record is from RNAcentral.
GAUGAAGAACGUAGCGAAAUGCGAUACGUAAUGUGAAUUGCAGAAUUCAGUGAAUCAUCGAGUCUUUGAACGCACAUUGCGCCCCCUGGUAUUCCGGGGGGCAUGCCUGUCCGAGCGUCAUUGCUGCCCUCAAGCACGGCUUGUGUGUUGGGCCUCCGUCCUCCUCCCGGGGGACGGGCCCGAAAGGCAGCGGCGGCACCGCGUCCGGUCCUCGAGCGUAUGGGGCUUCGUCACCCGCUCUUGUAGGCCCGGCCGGCGCUUGCCGACACAUCAAUCUUUUUUCCAGGUUGACCCCGGAUCAGGUAGGGAUACCCGCUGAACUUAAGCAUAUCAAUAAGCGGAGGA